This 290-nucleotide unclassified non-coding RNA is filed under the name uncultured Devriesia. Its description in RNAcentral is "sequence contains ITS1". The stretch from base 1 to 105 matches the Rfam family "5.8S ribosomal RNA", at positions 50 to 154 of the family's 154-position model. The record is from RNAcentral. Lineage: Eukaryota; Fungi; Ascomycota; Dothideomycetes; Mycosphaerellales; Teratosphaeriaceae.
GAAAUGCGAUAAGUAAUGUGAAUUGCAGAAUUCAGUGAAUCAUCGAAUCUUUGAACGCACAUUGCGCCCUCUGGCAUUCCGGGGGGCAUGCCCGUUCGAGCGUCAUUAACACCCAUCAAGCCUGGCUUGGUAUUGGGCGACGGGACCUCCCCGCGCCCCGAUUUCGCCGGCUGGACGACCCUGAUCUCGCAAGCGUAGCACAAUCUCGCUGGUGGGACGGGCGGCCACGCCGUUAACCUCAAAUCAAACAAGUUGACCUCGGAUCGGGUAGGAAUACCCGCUGAACUUAA